This 492-nucleotide ribosomal RNA is filed under the name uncultured bacterium. Its description in RNAcentral is "partial 16S ribosomal RNA". It matches the Rfam family "Bacterial small subunit ribosomal RNA", at positions 29 to 507 of the family's 1533-position model. The record is from RNAcentral.
AGUGAACGCUGGCGGUAGGCCUAACACAUGCAAGUCGAACGGCAGCACAGUAAGAGCUUGCUCUUACGGGUGGCGAGUGGCGGACGGGUGAGGAAUACAUCGGAAUCUACUUUUUCGUGGGGGAUAACGUAGGGAAACUUACGCUAAUACCGCAUACGACCUACGGGUGAAAGCAGGGGAUCUUCGGACCUUGCGCGAUUGAAUGAGCCGAUGUCGGAUUAGCUAGUUGGCGGGGUAAAGGCCCACCAAGGCGACGAUCCGUAGCUGGUCUGAGAGGAUGAUCAGCCACACUGGAACUGAGACACGGUCCAGACUCCUACGGGAGGCAGCAGUGGGGAAUAUUGGACAAUGGGCGCAAGCCUGAUCCAGCCAUACCGCGUGGGUGAAGAAGGCCUUCGGGUUGUAAAGCCCUUUUGUUGGGAAAGAAAGGCAGCAGGUUAAUAACCCGCUGUUCUGACGGUACCCAAAGAAUAAGCACCGGCUAACUUCGUG